AGUGAACGCUGGCGGUAGGCCUAACACAUGCAAGUCGAACGGCAGCACAGUAAGAUCUUGCUCUUACGGGUGGCGAGUGACGGACGGGUGAGGCAUACAUCGGAAUCUACUUUUUCUUGGGGGAUGACGUAGGGAAACUUCUGCUACUACCGCAUACGAUCUACGGGUUAAAGCAGGGGAUCUUCAGACUCUUCGCGAUUCAUUGAGACGAGGUCGGAUUAGCUAGUUGGCGGGGUAAAGGCCCACCAGGGCGACGCGCCGUAGCUGGUCUGAGAGGAUGGUCGGCCACACGGGAACUGAGACACGGUCCAGACUCUAACGGGAGGCGCCGGUGGGGAUUAUUGGACAAGGGGCGCAAGCCUGAUCCAGCCAGACGGCGGGGGUGAAGAAGGCCUUCGGGUUGUAAAGCCCUUUUGUUGGGAAAGAAAAGCAGCAAGUUAAUACCCCGCUGUUCUGACGGUACCCAAAGAAUAAGCACCGGCUAACUUCGU
RNAcentral lists this ribosomal RNA (491 nucleotides) under uncultured bacterium. RNAcentral describes it as "partial 16S ribosomal RNA". It matches the Rfam family "Bacterial small subunit ribosomal RNA", at positions 29 to 506 of the family's 1533-position model. The record is from RNAcentral.